CUAUCAACUUCCAUUUGUUUAGAUUAUCUAAUGUCUAAAUCUAAGAUUUCAACUUCUUUUGCAAAUAUUUAGAAAGUGUUGAUCGAUGAACUUUAUAAGUAUCAAUCGGUACACUUUUCAAAACGCCGAUCGAUACACAUGUCGGUGUGUCGAUCGAUAUAUCUUCUAGCAAGCUUUAGCGAAUGGGUUUGACGUGUUCUCUAAUUUUCUAACCAACUUUCGUAUGCGCCUAGUUAAUUAGAUCAUACUAGUUUUGUUACAAAAAACAGACCAAGCUUCCGCUUGCGCCAAUCAAUCCUAAGAUCUAAGUUCAGGGUGAUCAAGCCUAGACUUAGCAGUAAUAAAGGAAAUGAAGCAGUCAUGGUCGGUGAUGGCUCCUAUCUCCCUAUAACCCACGUUGGUUCCACCAAUAUCUCGUCUCAGACAGAAAGUGGUGACAAAAGGGCCUCGAAGUAAAGGUCUUUACAUGUUGAAGGAUUCUCAGGUUAAAGUUCAUUUCUCAAACCGAUAAGUUACAACAUCUGAGACAGUGUGGCAUCAUCGGUUAGGACACUCCAAUCCAAGGAUUCUUCAACAUCUCAACAACAACAAGGAUAUCAUCAUGAAUAAGAAUAGAACAACCUCCAAUUGUGAGCCUUGUCAGAUGGGGAAGAACAAUUGUUUACAGUUUUUUUCUUCUCAGUCUUUUGUUUCUAUUCACUUAGAGAAAAUACAUUGUAAUCUCUGGGGACUAUCUCCUGUAAUAUCGAAUCAAAGAUUCCGCUUCUAUGCUAUCUUUAUUGAUGAAUA
This is a long non-coding RNA of Brassica napus (rape), 789 nucleotides long. RefSeq lists it as uncharacterized. The record is from RefSeq and is a predicted model, not a curated record. NCBI's taxonomy places the organism in Eukaryota, Viridiplantae, Streptophyta, Magnoliopsida, Brassicales, Brassicaceae. The transcript has 2 exons.